CUCACGUCGGAAAAUAAAGUGGUGUGUAACCGGAACACAACACUGAACAAAAAAAAUCCCAAUUUAAAGCUGAUUAAUCCUUACAUUUUGGCAGCUGUUUCAGAAGUUUCGUAUUUUAAUAAAGUUGAAAUUCAUACAAUUUCUACACGC
Caenorhabditis elegans is the source of this 150-nucleotide non-coding RNA. Lineage: Eukaryota; Metazoa; Nematoda; Chromadorea; Rhabditida; Rhabditidae. The record is from Ensembl.